CUUUUUCCCGGGUCGAUCGUGGGGUAUGGUUCGUGAUGCGCAACUCCUAAUUUCUUUAAAAGCUCCGCAGUACGUCGAUCGUGGCCACGUGUUCGUAGCCGCAACAUGUUCCGGAAUCAUCAUGAUGGUGGUGGCGGGGCCGGGAGGCGGAGACGGAGGGAUAGAGCAGGGGCCGGCGUCGUCGGAGUAGUAGUAGGGGGAAGCGGGGGUUAGGAGUUAGGAGCGUGCUUGACGGGGGCGUUGUGGGAGGGCCCCCGAGAGGGGCGGCGGGCAUGUUGCGGGAGCAGCCGCGCGAGAAGCGGCAUAGCCGGGCCUCCCCGCACGCGACCUUCGGCCUCGGCCCUUCCUCACGUCGGUGGUCGCCCUCUGUUCCCCUCCGCGCCACCACGAGAGAGACCAGCGGUCGCGCCGGUGGUGUCCCCUCUCCCGGUCCCCUUCGCCGCCGUAUGCUGAGACAUCCGCCUACAUCGCAGACCGCCCUCCACUGCGCGUCGUCCCUUCCGUUGCCGGCCUAGGCGCGCGGCCACUCCGGACUAACGGUACGCCCCGGCACCGCCAGUCUAGUCCCGGUGCGUACCCUUAGCCGGAACGCCGCCGCAAUACGGCUGCGUUUUUCUUCCGUGCCUCGCCGCGCGGCCGCACAGCACUCGUGUUGUGGCACGCCCCGCUCGCCGUCCUAGACGAACUCCAGAUGACCGCGACGGCAGCUCCUGAGGUCCUUGACGGUGGCUCCUGCCGGUAGCUCGUGGCUCGAUCUUGGCGAUGCCUACCGUCCGACGGUGGCUCCUGCCGGUAGCUCGUGGCUCGAUCUUGGCGAUGCCUACCGUCCGACGGUGGCUCCUGCUAACAGUACCGGCGCGGACGGGUGACGGUCAGAGGGCAGAGGAUGUCUAUUCGUUCGUUUCUGCGGUACCAAGUCCGUAGACAAUGGGUUUUUUUUAGGGUGUCGGCCUCCUCGUCUCCUCGAUGUGUAAAUCACACAUACACUAUAGGACGGUCUUAAGAUCUCGUAAGUAUAUCCAUAUGACAAACCCACUUCUUCUCCCGAAGUCCCGGAGGAUUCGUACUUCCCUCCUGACGUUUAACUAUCUUUGUUCUCUCCCUGUACCACCAAAAGAAGUUGGUAUCGAACGAACUUCGUAUACGACUAUACGUGUAGGCCGGUACUGAACCUAAUUCAUUCGUGUACUUCAACACUACGAUUAUGUCUGGUUCAGCUCUCGUUAUAGUCACCCAACAGUACGAUCCUUAUACGUAUGUAUUAUGUACAUUACUAAAAGACAUAAAAUUCUCUAAUUAGAAUCCAACUUCACAUCAAAUAAUGUCGCCAUAAACUUGUUUUGUUUAUAACUCUGUUUUACACCUUUCCAACUUGAAGAAUAUAUAUUAAGAAGACACACUCUUUACUCUUGAUAUGGUACAAUAAAGGCUUUACCUUACAAAGGUCUUAAACC
Molecule: ribosomal RNA, 1454 nt
Filed under: Triticum aestivum (bread wheat)
Lineage: Eukaryota; Viridiplantae; Streptophyta; Magnoliopsida; Poales; Poaceae
Description: partial small subunit ribosomal RNA
Source: RNAcentral